AAAUUACUUUCUCACGCAACUAUUCUUUCGAUCUCAUAGUGUACAUUAUCUUCCUCUUUUCUUGAUUAUCCCUCUUUAAAUAAUCAAUCUUUUUCACCAUCUUAUAAGUUUCUUACAUGGCACUUGUCAAAAACAGUGAAUUUUGUUGAACCCCUUGGGAAAGGGUUAGCAAUUAGUAUAUUUUUUGCACAUAAUUCAUAGAGAUGGGUGUGGAGGGUGUGGGGGGUGGGGGUGGGGUGGGGGGUUUGAGAGAGUAGAAGAGGUAAAAAUGGGUGGUGGAUCUUGGAUAAAUAUGAGGGCAUUUGAUUGAUAUACAGUGCAAACAAUAUUGAUUUUCCUUUUGGUAAUGGUGGUUUCUUUUUAUAGUGGAACACUUCUUAUUGAAAAACCCAUCUUUAUAUGUACCUCAACAAGAACAACAACAGCUUGAAAAGCAACAACAAUUGUCUAUUGCUUCUAAUUUCAGUUCUUUAGAAUCUAUCUCUGGUUGCCUUGGCAAAAGACAUCCUACUUUGCUUUCCCGAUUGACGUGUGUUGCAAGUGGCGUGUUCAUCCUCCAUAAGUGAUAGUCCUCGAAGGCUCGAAGCAUAUCUUUCUUCAGCAUGUAAAAGAGUGUCCUGUGAUGGAAAUGUCUGAGUCUCUUAAAGCCAUAUAUUUGUUGUCAUCUUUUGGCUUAGACAGGCAACCAACUUUUCCUCUAUUGGAUCAAAGGAAAAACUCUUUCCUCUCAUUUUAA
Solanum lycopersicum (tomato) is the source of this 736-nucleotide non-coding RNA. The record is from RefSeq and is a predicted model, not a curated record. NCBI's taxonomy places the organism in Eukaryota, Viridiplantae, Streptophyta, Magnoliopsida, Solanales, Solanaceae.